GACGAACGCUGGCGGCGUGCUUAACACAUGCAAGUCGAACGGAAAGGCCCUGCUUGCAGGGUACUCGAGUGGCGAACGGGUGAGUAACACGUGGGUGAUCUGCCCUGCACUUCGGGAUAAGCCUGGGAAACUGGGUCUAAUACCGGAUAGGAGCCAUUUUUAGUGUGAUGGUUGGAAAGUUUUUUCGGUGUAGGAUGAGCUCGCGGCCUAUCAGCUUGUUGGUGGGGUAAUGGCCUACCAAGGCGGCGACGGGUAGCCGGCCUGAGAGGGUGGACGGCCACAUUGGGACUGAGAGACGGCCCAGACUCCUACGGGAGGCAGCAGUGGGGAAUAUUGCACAAUGGGCGCAAGCCGGAUGCAGCGACGCCGCGGGGGGGAUGACGGCCUUCGGGUUGUAAACUCCUUUCGCUAGGGACGAAGCUUUUUGUGACGGUACCUAGAGAAGAAGCACCGGCUAACUACGUG
Molecule: ribosomal RNA, 465 nt
Filed under: uncultured bacterium
Lineage: Bacteria
Description: partial 16S ribosomal RNA
Rfam family: Bacterial small subunit ribosomal RNA
Source: RNAcentral